Molecule: long non-coding RNA, 1173 nt
Filed under: Malus domestica (apple)
Lineage: Eukaryota; Viridiplantae; Streptophyta; Magnoliopsida; Rosales; Rosaceae
Description: long non-coding RNA (MDOM_LNC009602)
Source: RNAcentral
AGCCAAUCUGGGUGAAACACGUACAUCUUGUGUUUGCUUCCUUGUCUCUAUCCAUUUGCAUACUUAUCCACACUAGUGACCGAAGCAAUCUAGCGAAUGUCACAAACUUGACACUUUCUGUUGUACCAAAGUCCUCACUGAUUUUGUGCAUCAACACCAUCAACCUUGUUAUAGUAAAUUUUUUUGUCAAUCUUUCUUAUAGUAAUUACAACAUCAUUUUGUGUUAUUAACUAUCAUUUUACCAAAUCAUAUUUACACUGUCAAUAUAAAAUAUAAUACUUGAACGUGAUUGCAUUACAUUAUCAACGUCCAAUUUAACUAAACGAUAACCUAGAAUUUCCUUUUUAAAGUUAUGCAAUACCUACAGAUAUAAAACAAAAAUAAGAGAAAAUGAUGUUUAGGAAAGAAAAUAAGCAAGCAAUCCCAUUCCCAAUUGCAUGUGUUAGGAAAGAGAGUGGCGGCAAAGCAAUGAACACUGCAAUUGCCAAUAAUAAUUCUGAUGACUCCUUUCUAGUAUUUCAUCUAAUCCAAGUAAUAAAAGAAUAGAAUAAAAACAGCAUCUUGUAAGUGGGGGAGGCACUAAACCAAAGGUUGAAAUUUGUCAGAUUAGGGUUCUUAUUGUACCCUUACUACAGUUACAAGACACCGUCUCAGACUUCAGACCGCCAGAAGUAAUCUGAUUCCAGAGACUUCAAUUCCCUCCACCGGAAAAGGUAAUUCGAGCCUUCACUUCUUUCUUGCCCAGUUGCCCUUCCAGUAUCACUCUUAUCCUAUUUUUCUAUGUUUAUUUAAUAUUUUGUGCAGUUUUGGAGGGAUUGAAUUGAAAAUUAGUGUUCUUCCUUUCUUUGGUAGGUUCUUUUUUUAUGUGGAUAAGCCAGCCGUUAUCAAAUUUUGGUUCUUUUGGAUUAAUUCCUUGAUGGGUUUUUCUGGGUUUUCGGUUCGGAAUUAGGAGCUGAAUCGAUUGGUUAAUUGAUGGGUUUUUCCUUGUGGUAUUUUUAGGUGGAGGUGAUACUAUAAAAGAUUAUCCAAAGCAGGAAUUGCAGAAAAGGAAGCAAAGGUAAGAAGAAGGUAAUAUGGCUCAAUCCCUCGAUAAUCUGGAGGGUGCAUUAUCAUUGAUUUAAAUAGUGUACAAUGAUUUGAUGUACAAGUAUAAUUAAUAUACAAAUAAUACAU